This 464-nucleotide ribosomal RNA is filed under the name Vreelandella stevensii. RNAcentral describes it as "partial 16S ribosomal RNA". It matches the Rfam family "Bacterial small subunit ribosomal RNA", at positions 339 to 795 of the family's 1533-position model. Lineage: Bacteria; Pseudomonadati; Pseudomonadota; Gammaproteobacteria; Oceanospirillales; Halomonadaceae. The record is from RNAcentral.
CCUCGGGGGGCUGCAGUGGGGAAUAUUGGACAAUGGGCGAAAGCCUGAUCCAGCCAUGCCGCGUGUGUGAAGAAUGCCUUCGGGUUGUAAAGCACUUUCAGUGGGGAAGAAAGCCUUGGGGCUAAUACCCUCGAGGAAGGACAUCACCCACAGAAGAAGCACCGGCUAACUCCGUGCCAGCAGCCGCGGUAAUACGGAGGGUGCGAGCGUUAAUCGGAAUUACUGGGCGUAAAGCGCGCGUAGGCGGUCUGAUAAGCCGGUUGUGAAAGCCCCGGGCUCAACCUGGGAACGGCAUCCGGAACUGUCAGGCUAGAGUGCAGGAGAGGAAGGUAGAAUUCCCGGUGUAGCGGUGAAAUGCGUAGAGAUCGGGAGGAAUACCAGUGGCGAAGGCGGCCUUCUGGACUGACACUGACGCUGAGGUGCGAAAGCGUGGGUAGCAAACAGGAUUAGAUACCCUAGUAGUC